UACGUAGGGGGCAAGCGUUGUCCGGAUUUAUUGGGCGUAAAGAGCGUGUAGGCGGUUUGGUAGGUCCGUUGUGAAAACUCGAGGCUCAACCUCGAGACGCCGAUGGAAACCAUCAGACUAGAGUCCGGAAGAGGAGAGUGGAAUUCCUGGUGUAGCGGUGAAAUGCGCAGAUAUCAGGAAGAACACCCGUGGCUAAGGCGGCUCUCUAGUACGGUACUGACGCUGAGGCGCGACAGCGUGGGGAGCAAACAGG
Molecule: ribosomal RNA, 253 nt
Filed under: uncultured bacterium
Lineage: Bacteria
Description: partial 16S ribosomal RNA
Rfam family: Bacterial small subunit ribosomal RNA
Source: RNAcentral